Long non-coding RNA from Corvus hawaiiensis (hawaiian crow), 2081 nucleotides. RefSeq lists it as uncharacterized. The transcript has 2 exons. Lineage: Eukaryota; Metazoa; Chordata; Aves; Passeriformes; Corvidae. The record is from RefSeq and is a predicted model, not a curated record.
CGAAAGAAGGGUGACGACGACGAGCAACAGAGAUACUGCGGGCUGAGAGUGUUGACCGCGAGUCAAAGGACGUCAGUCAGGCUGAUAACCAGACCAAUAUGGGUUCCUAGCAGAUGGACCAAGCCUGCUCCCAGUCCCGCUGUCGACAAAAGUGGCUUCAGCGAGUGUGUGACCAACUGAGCCAGGACGUACAGCAGAUGUUCCCAACCUUUGGGAAGUGAACCCUUGCUUGGUGGCCAACGACCUCACAUUUGGACGACCACUCGGAGUCUGGGAACAGUCACCGAGUGUGCAUGCUAAUCGCCACAGAAAUUGUUUAUGCUGGUAUAAUAGCUUGUGCUUGCGCUUGUGCUGUAGGGGCUGUGGGGAAGAGCUUACUAGGGGAAUUUGGAAUGUAGACGAGCGAGGUAGUUUAUGCCGAGAAUGUUAUCAAGUGCCUGAGACAAGACGUUUUAGGCAGUGUGCGUCUAUCGUGCUCAGAAUUCCACCACAACAGAUAAGAGUUAGCUCAUUCAGGGAUCCACAUGAGUUUUUACUAAGCUUGGAAGUGUGGGCAGGGAAGGAAGCCAUCAGACGUCUGCAAGUGAGUAGAAAGACCACUGUAACCCAGGCAUGGUGCCCUACAUGUGGCUCCUCCUCUCAAGUACUUUCACCCUGAGUAAAGCUGUGAUAACUUCAGUGUCAGAAAGAGAAAAUGUGUGGGUAACAUGGGCUCACCAGGCGAACCAGACAGACUUCUGUCUGGCCAUGGGGUCGGCAGCAGAUCCAUUUCGCACAUGUCUAAUUGGCGUGCCAUGGAUCUCACUCGAGGACACGUUUCAAAAAUGGGUGACAGAUAUAGGGAAAAUCAAUGAGGAAGUGGAGCAACAAAUGCAAAACAAACUGGGGCGAGUGCUUAGGUUGUUGGUCUAGUUAUCGGCACUCCUUGCAGCAAACCCGUAUUAUUGCCAAUUUAACAAAAAAUGCAACCUUGCCUCUUCAAGAGCUACAGCUUUAUGGGUCCCUCUUUCCCAGUAUGCUUGUUAAUGUAACACCAUGGACCAACUGUUCCAAUGUGGUGCCUCCAAUGCAAUAUGCCAACAGGUCUGGGGUUUUCUUCUUUGGAGAUCCUUGGAAGGACUAUCAGGCAUGACAGGGCAUGGCCUCCUUUCCAUGGAAACAGAACGUAUCAGGACACUCCAUCGGAGGCUGGAACAUGCCGGCCACGUUGGGAGGAGCUGAGUCUAUUGACACAAUGGGAGGAAAGGUUUUACCUCCUGGAAUGUUUUUGAUAUGCGGAGAUAGAGCAUGGAAUGGGAUUCCGCAUAGUCCAAUUGGGGGUCCUUGCUACCUGGGAAAGCUAACUAUGUUUGCCCCUUCUAUACGAGCAUGGAAGAACAUUACGGCAUCAGAAAGUUGGAAAAAUAGGAUGUGAAAUAGAUACCAGCGUAGUGUUUCCACGUUUGAUAAAGAUUGUAAUGAUAAGGUAAACAUUAUGAGUUUGAGUGCAUUUAUACCAUUGGCUAUUUUUAACCCAGGGGGUGCUGCAGCUCAUGGCUAUAGCAGUCUGAAAAAGUUGGCCUGUUGGUCAGAAAAGGAAUUUAAUAGGACUUCCCAUAUAUUAAAUGAGCUUUUAACUGAUGUAGAUAGCAUUAGGCAUGCUGUACUACAAAAUCGAGCUGUGAUUGAUUUUUUAUUGCUAGCUCAUGGCCAUGGUUGCAAAGAGUUUGAAGGUAUGUGUUGUAUGAACCUGUCAGACCAUUCCCAGAAUAUCCAUCAACAGCUCUCAGAACUGCAAGAUGCUUUUCAAAAGAUACAGAUCCAUACAGACAGCUUCUCUUGAGUGGCUGUCCUUGCUUGGUCUGACAGGGUGGUUAGGAAACCUGGUUCAAGAAGGUUUACGUCUGCUAGCUACACUAUUAAUUGUGGCAAUAAUAAUUUGUUGUUGUUUGGGGUGCAUACGGAAAGCUUUAGAGAAAGUUGUUAAUUGGGCUUGGCUUGUGCAAGAAGAAAAAGGGGAAAUUGUAGAGAAAUGGCUGAGUGAACAGGGACAUGUAUACGUGCACAAUCCAAGCUAUGUUAGUGAACUGUCCUUGACUAGG